UCUAUAAUGGGGCGCAGCGCCUCUAGAUCACCUGCCAGGGGUCGUGGAUCUCCUCGCAGGAGGAGCCCUUCACGCAGGGAAAGGUCACCUGCUCAUAAAAGGAGUUCACAUGCUGCAAGUUCAGCUGUAGCAGAGAAGCCUUCAAGACGUGCAAGGUCAAGAUCUCCUGUUCCUCUUUCACCUGCUCGAGAGAAGCCUUCUAGUCGAAAUAAAUCCCCAAAGCGCAGAAAAUCAAUCUCCCCUGCAUCUGACUCCCCAGUCAGAGAGAAACCCUCAAGUCGCAUGAAGUCCUUCAAACGAGCUAAGUCAAGGUCUCCGGAUUCAAAGUUGUUACAGGGAGAGAAAUCUUCAGGCCGAGCCAGGUCUCCUAAACGUGCCAAGUUGCAGUCUCCUGAACAGCGCUCACCCUCACCACGAACAAAAAGACUGAGGAGAGCAGAACGAGAGACUGAAGAAAAAUUGAGGGAGCGGGAUCCGGAGAAGAAUCACAGGAGAUCUAAUGAUAGGGCUACAUAUAGGGAAAAGGAUUCUGACAAAAUGUUGCCUGAAUCUCGCUCACCCUCACCACGAACAAAGAGA
This 579-nucleotide unclassified non-coding RNA is filed under the name Hevea brasiliensis (rubber tree). Lineage: Eukaryota; Viridiplantae; Streptophyta; Magnoliopsida; Malpighiales; Euphorbiaceae. The record is from RNAcentral.